ACUUUGGUAGUGCAAUCAGUAGGACUCCAGAUUGGACAUCUGUAGAUGAGGGUUCGAGCCCUCACGAGGUU
RNAcentral lists this transfer RNA (71 nucleotides) under Dictyocaulus viviparus (bovine lungworm). It matches the Rfam family "tRNA". Rfam says of the family: Transfer RNA (tRNA) molecules are approximately 80 nucleotides in length. Their secondary structure includes four short double-helical elements and three loops (D, anti-codon, and T loops). Further hydrogen bonds mediate the characteristic L-shaped molecular structure. tRNAs have two regions of fundamental functional importance: the anti-codon, which is responsible for specific mRNA codon recognition, and the 3' end, to which the tRNAs corresponding amino acid is attached (by aminoacyl-tRNA synthetases). tRNAs cope with the degeneracy of the genetic code in two manners: having more than one tRNA (with a specific anti-codon) for a particular amino acid; and 'wobble' base-pairing, i.e. permitting non-standard base-pairing at the 3rd anti-codon position. The record is from Rfam by way of RNAcentral. Lineage: Eukaryota; Metazoa; Nematoda; Chromadorea; Rhabditida; Metastrongylidae.